AUGCUGUGAUGCCCUUCGAUGUCCUGGGCUGCACGCGCGCUACACUGACAGAGACAG
Molecule: ribosomal RNA, 57 nt
Filed under: Phialophora sp.
Lineage: Eukaryota; Fungi; Ascomycota; Eurotiomycetes; Chaetothyriales; Herpotrichiellaceae
Description: partial small subunit ribosomal RNA
Source: RNAcentral